UGGGGAAUAUUGCACAAUGGGCGCAAGCCUGAUGCAGCCAUGCCGCGUGUGUGAAGAAGGCCUUCGGGUUGUAAAGCACUUUCAGCGAGGAGGAAGGUGGUGAGCUUAAUACGCUCAUCAAUUGACGUUACUCGCAGAAGAAGCACCGGCUAACUCCGUGCCAGCAGCCGCGGUAAUACGGAGGGUGCAAGCGUUAAUCGGAAUUACUGGGCGUAAAGCGCACGCAGGCGGUUUGUUAAGUCAGAUGUGAAAUCCCCGGGCUCAACCUGGGAACUGCAUUUGAAACUGGCAAGCUAGAGUCUCGUAGAGGGGGGUAGAAUUCCAGGUGUAGCGGUGAAAUGCGUAGAGAUCUGGAGGAAUACCGGUGGCGAAGGCGGCCCCCUGGACGAAGACUGACGCUCAGGUGCGAAAGCGUGGGGCAGCAAACAGGAUUAGGUACCCUGGUAGUCCGCGCUGUAAAGCGAUGUCGAUUUGGAGGUUGUGCCCUUGAGGCGUGGCUUCCGGAGCUAACGCGUUAAAUCGACCGCCUGGGGAGUACGGCCGCAAGGUUAAAACUCAAAUGAAUUG
This 567-nucleotide ribosomal RNA is filed under the name uncultured bacterium. RNAcentral describes it as "partial 16S ribosomal RNA". It matches the Rfam family "Bacterial small subunit ribosomal RNA", at positions 355 to 912 of the family's 1533-position model. The record is from RNAcentral.